Molecule: ribosomal RNA, 550 nt
Filed under: uncultured bacterium
Lineage: Bacteria
Description: bacterial SSU rRNA
Rfam family: Bacterial small subunit ribosomal RNA
Source: RNAcentral
UGAACGCUGGCGGCGUGCCUAACACAUGCAAGUCGAGCGGUAACAGGUGUAGCAAUACAUGCUGACGAGCGGCGAACGGGUGAGUAAUGCUUCGGAAUCUGCCCAAUGGUGGGGAAUAACCAGCCGAAAGGUUGGCUAAUACCGCAUAAGUCCUACGGGGGAAAGCAGGGGAUCGCAAGACCUUGCGCCGAUGGAUGAGCCGAAGUCGGAUUAGCUAGUUGGUAGGGUAACGGCCUACCAAGGCGACGAUCCGUAGCUGGUCUGAGAGGACGACCAGCCACACUGGGACUGAGACACGGCCCAGACUCCUACGGGAGGCAGCAGUGGGGAAUAUUGGACAAUGGGGGAAACCCUGAUCCAGCGACGCCGCGUGUGUGAAGAAGGCCUGCGGGUUGUAAGGCACUUUUAGUGGGGAUGAAAAGCUCAGGGCUAACACCUCUGGGUCUUGACCUAACCCACAGAAAAAGCACCGGCUAACUCUGUGCCAGCAGCCGCGGUAAUACAGAGGGUGCGAGCGUUAAUCGGAAUUACUGGGCGUAAAGCGUGCGUA